AAGUCGUAACAAGGUUUCCGUAGGUGAACCUGCGGAAGGAUCAUUACCGAGCGAGGCGCUCCGACGCCCGACCUCCCAACCUCUGUCCGAACCCACACCUCUGUUGCCUCGGGACCGCGCCUCGCGCGGGCCCGCGACCACAACCAACUCCUGCAUCUCUGCGUCGGAGUGACAGCGAAAUCAAUCAAAACUUUCAACAACGGAUCUCUUGGUUCUGGCAUCGAUGAAGAACGCAGCGAAAUGCGAUAAGUAAUGUGAAUUGCAGAAUUCAGUGAAUCAUCGAAUCUUUGAACGCACAUUGCGCCCCUGGCAUUCCGGGGGCAUGCCGUUCGAGCGUCAUUACACCACUCAAGCCUGGCUUGGUAUUGGCGUCGGAUGCACCGCGCCUCUAUGUUUGUUCGGCUGGACGGUUGGAAUCUCAGCGUUGUGCAAUCAAUCCGCUGUGGACCUGACUGGACGCGCCGUGAAAAUCUCAUCACAGGUUGACCUCGGAUCGGGUAGGGAUACCCGCUGAACUUAA
Molecule: ribosomal RNA, 520 nt
Filed under: uncultured fungus
Lineage: Eukaryota; Fungi
Description: eukaryotic LSU rRNA
Rfam family: 5.8S ribosomal RNA (bases 189-339)
Source: RNAcentral